Molecule: ribosomal RNA, 292 nt
Filed under: uncultured bacterium
Lineage: Bacteria
Description: partial 16S ribosomal RNA
Rfam family: Bacterial small subunit ribosomal RNA
Source: RNAcentral
GUGCCAGCAGCCGCGGUAAUACGGAGGGUGCAAGCGUUAUCCGGAUUCACUGGGUUUAAAGGGUGCGUAGGCGGGCUUGUAAGUCCGUGGUGAAAUCUCUGAGCUUAACUCGGAAACUGCCAUGGAUACUAUAGGCCUUGAAUUCUGUGGAGGUUUGCGGAAUAUGUCAUGUAGCGGUGAAAUGCUUAGAUAUGACAUAGAACACCGAUUGCGAAGGCAGCAGGCUACACAGCGAUUGACGCUGAGGCACGAAAGCGUGGGGAUCAAACAGGAUUAGAUACCCUGGUAGUCC